UACGUAGGUGGCAAGCGUUGUCCGGAUUUACUGGGUGUAAAGGGCGUGUAGCCGGGCUGACAAGUCAGAUGUGAAAUCCGGGGGCUCAACCCCCGAACUGCAUUUGAAACUGUUGGUCUUGAGUAUCGGAGAGGCAGGCGGAAUUCCUAGUGUAGCGGUGAAAUGCGUAGAUAUUAGGAGGAACACCAAUGGCGGAGGCGGCCUGCUGGACGACAACUGACGGUGAGGCGCGAAAGCGUGGGGAGCAAACAGG
This 253-nucleotide ribosomal RNA is filed under the name uncultured bacterium. RNAcentral describes it as "partial 16S ribosomal RNA". It matches the Rfam family "Bacterial small subunit ribosomal RNA", at positions 524 to 776 of the family's 1533-position model. The record is from RNAcentral.